UGGGGAAUCUUGGACAAUGGGGGCAACCCUGAUCCAGCGACGCCGCGUGGGUGAUGAAGGCCUUCGGGUUGUAAAGCCCUUUUGCCGGGGACGAUGAUGACGGUACCCGGCGAAUAAGCACCGGCUAACUCCGUGCCAGCAGCCGCGGUAAGACGGAGGGUGCUAGCGUUGUUCGGAAUUACUGGGCGUAAAGGGCGCGUAGGCGGCCUGUUGCGUCGGAUGUGAAAGCCCGGGGCUCAACCCCGGAACGGCAUCCGAUACGGGCAGGCUGGAGACCGGGAGAGGAGGGUGGAAUAGCCAGUGUAGAGGUGAAAUUCGUAGAUAUUGGCUGGAACACCGGUGGCGAAAGCGGCUCUCUGGCCCGGUUCUGACGCUGAGGCGCGAAAGCGUGGGGAGCAAACA
RNAcentral lists this ribosomal RNA (402 nucleotides) under uncultured bacterium. RNAcentral's name for it is "bacterial SSU rRNA". It matches the Rfam family "Bacterial small subunit ribosomal RNA", at positions 355 to 774 of the family's 1533-position model. The record is from RNAcentral.